UACGGAGGAUGCAAGCGUUAUCCGGAUUUAUUGGGCGUAAAGCGUCCGCAGGUGGUUAAUCAAGUCUGCUGUCAAAGCGCAGGGCUCAACUCUGUAAAGGCGGUGGAAACUGGUGAACUAGAGUUCGGUAGGGGUAGCGGGAAUUCCCGGUGUAGCGGUGAAAUGCGUAGAUAUCGGGAAGAACACCAGCGGCGAAAGCGCGCUACUGGGCCGAGACUGACACUCAUGGACGAAAGCUAGGGGAGCGAAAGGG
This 253-nucleotide ribosomal RNA is filed under the name uncultured bacterium. Its description in RNAcentral is "partial 16S ribosomal RNA". It matches the Rfam family "Bacterial small subunit ribosomal RNA", at positions 524 to 776 of the family's 1533-position model. The record is from RNAcentral.